This 229-nucleotide ribosomal RNA is filed under the name uncultured bacterium. Its description in RNAcentral is "partial 16S ribosomal RNA". It matches the Rfam family "Bacterial small subunit ribosomal RNA", at positions 568 to 796 of the family's 1533-position model. The record is from RNAcentral.
UGCGUAGGUGGGUCUGUAAGUCAGUGGUGAAAUCUCCGAGCUUAACUCGGAAACUGCCAUUGAUACUAUAGGUCUUGAAUCAUCUGGAGGUAAGCGGAAUAUGUCAUGUAGCGGUGAAAUGCUUAGAUAUGACAUAGAACACCAAUUGCGAAGGCAGCUUACUACGGGUGUAUUGACACUGAGGCACGAAAGCGUGGGGAUCAAACAGGAUUAGAUACCCUGGUAGUCC